This 304-nucleotide ribosomal RNA is filed under the name uncultured bacterium. RNAcentral's name for it is "partial 16S ribosomal RNA". It matches the Rfam family "Bacterial small subunit ribosomal RNA", at positions 506 to 807 of the family's 1533-position model. The record is from RNAcentral.
CAGCAGUAGCCGCGGGAAUACGGAGGGGGCUAGCGUUGUUCGGAAUUACUGGGCGUAAAGCGUACGUAGGCGGCUUUGUAAGUUAGAGGUGAUAGCCUGGUGCUCAACACCAGAACUGCCUUUAAGACUGCAUCGCUUGAACGUCGGAGAGGUGAGUGGAAUUCCGAGUGUAGAGGUGAAAUUCGUAGAUAUUCGGAAGAACACCAGUGGCGAAGGCGGCUCACUGGACGACUGUUGACGCUGAGGUACGAAAGCGUGGGGAGCAAACAGGAUUAGAUACCCCUGUAGUCCCUGUCUCUUAUAC